Molecule: RNA transcript, 4669 nt
Organism: Boleophthalmus pectinirostris (great blue-spotted mudskipper)
Lineage: Eukaryota; Metazoa; Chordata; Actinopteri; Gobiiformes; Gobiidae
Gene: pard3bb
Gene name: par-3 family cell polarity regulator beta b
Exons: 27
Source: RefSeq, a predicted model, not a curated record
CCUUUAAGAAAGUGACAGCAACAAGCGGCGGAGGAGCUGGUCAGGAACUGGCCAGGAGCGGACCACAGCGCACUGCAGGAAUCUCAAACUUUUCCCAACACUUUACAUUCCCUGGACAGCGAUUUCUUUCCUCAUCAGACGCUCAUCCUGUUGGAAUAUUACAUCAAAGUUUGGAUUUAGUUUGUUUCGGGGAAAAAUCGGAUGCUACUGAUGAUAUGGAGAAGGGAAAAGUUGCGGGGAGAAAACUUGUGAAAUGAUGCCCGUGCCACUGCAUCCCUCCCUCCAAAGUUUAGCUAAGGUGGCUAACGUGAGCUAGCUAAUUAUUCUGACAUAAAACAACUUUGAUCAACUAUUACCGACACCUCUACGGAGACAGUAAGUUCAAUGACGAGCGUGUUUAGUGAAUCCAUCGCUUUUAUCCUUGCCGUUGUGUCUUAGCCCGCUCACCUAACAGUAUCGAGCUAACAGGACUUAGCCAAGUGCAGCUAACACACGGACUCUCCAAGUUUGAUCAAGUUAAGCAAUGUACACAGGUAGAAAUGGCAUGCGAUGAAAAGCGUUUAGUUCACAGUAUCUCCCCGUAGAAUCGUGGUAUGUUGGACAACUUUUCUGUCUUAAUUUUGGAUAUAAUUUUCCUGAAGUUGCUGGACUGAAUUGGAUUAUCUUGGAGCAUACCUUUGCAGAGACGAGCAGCGGUGCGCACAGCCAGAGGUAUCAGUGGAUGAGGCUCGUUCACCUACAGCAGUCUUCAUCAGGACCUCUACAUUUUGGAUCCUCCGGUUUUUCUUGUACUUCCUCAGAGCUGACCUGAGUUUUGGAUGAAGUUCUACAUGCCAUGAUGAAGGUGACAGUGAGCUUUGGGCAGACGGGGAUUGUGGUCCCCUGCAAAGAAGGCUGGACUGUGAGGGACCUCAUUCAACAAGCAACACAGAGAUACAAGAAACUACUGGAACAGGAGGGAGAGUUCCUGGUUCGGACUCACCAUCUUGAAUACUGUGAUGGAGGGAUUCUGGACCCUGACGACACACUCAGCGAUCUGGUGGAAGACAGAGACAAGCUGAUGGCGGUGUACGAGGAGCAGGAGGCUCAGAGGACCACCCCGGACCCCGGCGUCAGUCCCAGCCCUGAACUGUACCACUCCGAGCUUUCCGUGUUUCAGCCAAUCACAGGAGGCGAGAUUGAAGUCACCCCCUUUGCUCUCAAGUCCAACACCCCCCUGCUGGUCAGGAGCAGUAGUGACUCCGCUCUCAACCCUCCGCCCACAGAGACCGGACCCUCUCUUCCAGAAGACCCUGCUCCUAUGAUCGCGAGCCCUGCCGUCCCCGCUUCCGACCGCUCCUAUAACAAGCACUCAUUUAACACAGGCCUGACGAGAACAGUGGAGAUCUUGGGCGAGGACAGUCCUUUGGGGAUCCAUGUUGUCCCGUACUGCUCGUCCCUCAGUGGACGGCCUCUGGGUUUGUUCAUCCGCGGCAUUGAGGAGGACAGCCGGAGCAGAAAGGAGGGACUUUUUGUGGAGGAUGAAUGCAUCGUCAAGAUCAAUACUACCGACCUCAUGGACAAGUCAUUCAGCCAAGCCCAGGAGAUCUUUCGGCAGGCCAUGCGCUCCCCUAUUGUCCGUCUGGAGGUGGUCUCAUCCUCCAACAGAGAGAGAUAUGAGAAGAGUCUGAUUGGACAGCUCUUCAACAGUACCCCGGUACCCCCAGGCCCAGAGAGCAGUCCCCGGGUCCCCAAACCCAAAGACCCCCCUCCUCCUGUCAUGGCCAAACCAGUGUUCAGACCUCCAGAGAGUACGGCCAUGAGGACACCAGAGGAGGCUGUGCCAAUGGAACCUCCUGUCCGGGCCCCCAGGAGCAGAAGCCAGAGCCCCCACUCCAGGAUAAGUCCAGGCCUGUCUAGUCUUGUGUCCAGUAAACGCGGAGGGAGACGAAUAAGGAUCGAUUUGAAGAAAGGUUCAGAGGGUCUUGGUUUCACUGUGGUGACCAGAGAUUCUUCAGUCCAUGGUCCCGGGCCCAUUCUGGUCAAAAACAUUCUGCCUCGUGGAGCGGCCGUCAAAGAUGGACGCCUGCAGUCUGGGGACCGUAUCCUGGAGGUGAAUGGAGUGGACAUCACAGGCGUGGGUCAGGAGGAGCUGGUGUCUAUGCUCCGUAGCACUCGUCAGGGAGAGAGCGUCAGCCUCGUGGUCCUACGGCAAGAGGACAUGUUCCUGCCCCGAGAAAUGAAAGAAGAUGUGCCGCGUGGUCCUUACUACAUUUCAGAGAGUGGGAAGGAGCAGCUGAUGUUUGAGAUUCCGCUGAAUGAUACAGGAUCGGCCGGACUCGGUGUCAGCCUCAAAGGAAACAAGUCCAGAGAGACUGGAGAGGACCUGGGAAUCUUUGUCAAGUCCAUCAUUCAUGGAGGGGCCGCUUAUAAGGACGGCAGACUGCGUGUGAAUGACCAGUUGGUGGCAGUUAACGGAGAAUCGCUGAUAGGACGCUCGAACCACGACGCCAUGGAAACGCUUCGGCGGUCCAUGUCUCAGGAGGGCAACGUCAGGGGGACCAUUCAACUGGUGGUCCUUAGGGUGCUACUGGAUCACAGUGGCGUGUCUCCAAACCGCUCCUUUGACAGUUCCUCGGGUCUGAGGAUGAGUCCAGUGAACGGACAAACCAACGGCACCGUUCAUCCUUCUAUGGUCAACAAUGUGCUCUAUGCAUCUCAUGUGGGCAAUGGGAGCUACAGUCACAUGGACGAGGAGGAUGGUGAGACGUACGGACAGGAAACAUCGUUCAGUAACUCCGUCCAGCAAAACUCAUAUCUGCAUGAGAGUUUCCGAGACAAUCUGAACCGCGCGUUGGCGCAGAGUCCUAACCCUCGUCAGUUUCUCCAUGUGAAGGCAUCCAAGAGCAUGGACCUGGGUACGGCCCCGAGCAGACAACACACUGUGGAAGAUGAAAGCAACAUUGGAUCCAUGGAUGAAAACACCGCAGCCUCUCCGACCCCCAUGGAGCUGGGUCCGACCCUGGGUCUGAAGAAGUCCAGUUCUUUGGAGAGUCUGCAGACGGCCAUGUCGGAGGUGAACAGGAAGAGCGACCUGCUUCCUUUCCACCGGCCGCGUGCAAAUAUGGUCAGAGGAAGAGGCUGCAACGAGAGCUUCAGAGCCGCUAUAGACAAGUCCUACGAUGGACCACCUGAGGAUGAUGAUGAUGAUCCGUCAGAGCCCAGUUCAGGCCGGGAGACUCCAAACAGCUCAUCUCGCCCAGGAACAGCGGACCAAAUGGAUGACAAAAACAAGAAGGACAAGAAGAAGAAAGACAAACCAAAAAAGAAAGAGAAGCCACCCAAACCCAAAGUAAAAGACAAGAAGGAGCCAGAGGAGGCUGAGAAGAAGGGCAAGAAGAACUGGCUGCUCAGAUUUGCGAAGAAAAAGGAUGAUAAGAAAGAAGCCAAAGCCACCUUGCAGAGGCAGAAGUCUGAUCUGAUCAGUGACGUGGAGCUGGAGAAGAUGAAGGAGGAGAGAGAAAGGAUUGAAUCUAACCAUCCAGAGCUGCGCCCCGUCCCCGCUCCCUCUUACCCCGAUGUGGAGGAUGAUGACAUGGACCCAAACUACGCUCGCAUCCAGACCUUUAGAGACCGCUCUGCCCCCUCGCCCUCUCACCCACUGUCCCAGAGUCCUCACUACAACUCCGCCCAGCACCCCAGCGCCCGCACGCCCUCUCCCCACACACCCGCUGCCUUCAACGGCUCAAUGAACUCCCCCCCUGCUCUGGAUGUUGCCCAGAUCGACCAACUCUACGCCAAAGUCAACAAGCAAAGAGGAGGAGGGGCAGCGUCUCCAGUCGCUCCAGUAUCAGCCAAUGAUAGUGUGGACAGGAUUCAGCAGCUGAGGAGGGAGUUCCAGCAGGCUCGCAGAGAGGGGAUGGUGCCUCCAUAUGAAGAACUGGACCAGAGACGAAGAGCACAUGACAACGAUCCACACAGGAUGGGACCCAGGGACCCCCGAAUGGCCCCGCGAUAUGAAGAAGUGGAGCGACAGUACGCCUCUCUACCCAGGAGAGGCCCCCAGGAUCCGUCGGACUACCCCAUCCAGCAGCAGCAGCCCUGGCCUGGACACUACCAGGGACCCCCCCAGAACCACCAGGCCUACUCCCAAAGCCCGGCCUAUCCCAACCACAAUGUUAACCCCCAGAGUCCGGUCUAUUCCAACCACAGCGCAAACCCAGCAGGCCCGUACUCCUACACGGGGGGACCGGCCUACACCAGAGACCCGAGAACUGUGGAGCCCGGAUACUACCCACACCCCAGCAUCUCUUUCUGGUGUUUAGCUCACAGCAGAGGGGUCCCCUUCGACAGGAUGUCCCGCCGUCUCCCACCCCUCCAAUGAGAGGCCUGCGCUAUGACACCAUGACCAGAGGAGCAGUGGGAGGAGGCUAUAGGUAGAAUAUGUCAGACAUCUGCCACUCCCUGGUUGAAAUCACUAAAGCUGUACAGGGGACAGACGAAGACUUCACCAAACCCACUGAAUGCAGCUGUGUGCAUCUCUUCUAUAUUUUUCUAAAGGGCCUCAACAGCAAGCAGUGUUUCUAUUGGUACAAUGAACAGCCAAUGAACAAAGUCAGUGCUGUCUUAUAAUGCACUCUCACACUAUAUACUACUAUAUGGUACAAAAUAACUCAUCAAACAUUGAAAA